GAGUUUGAUCCUGGCUCAGGACGAACGCUGGCGGCGUGCCUAAUACAUGCAAGUCGAGCGAACAGAUGAGGAGCUUGCUCCUCAAAUGUUAGCGGCGGACGGGUGAGUAACACGUGGGCAACCUGCCCUGCAGAUGGGGAUAACUCCGGGAAACCGGGGCUAAUACCGAAUAACAAAAAGAAUCUCCUGAUUCUUUUUUGAAAGGCGGCUUUUAGCUGUCACUGCAGGAUGGGCCCGCGGCGCAUUAGCUAGUUGGUGAGGUAACGGCUCACCAAGGCGACGAUGCGUAGCCGACCUGAGAGGGUGAUCGGCCACACUGGGACUGAGACACGGCCCAGACUCCUACGGGAGGCAGCAGUAGGGAAUCUUCCGCAAUGGACGAAAGUCUGACGGAGCAACGCCGCGUGAGUGAAGAAGGUUUUCGGAUCGUAAAGCUCUGUUGUCAGGGAAGAACAAGUACCAUAGUAACUGAUGUACCUUGACGUACCUGACCA
This 494-nucleotide ribosomal RNA is filed under the name uncultured bacterium. RNAcentral describes it as "bacterial SSU rRNA". It matches the Rfam family "Bacterial small subunit ribosomal RNA", at positions 9 to 485 of the family's 1533-position model. The record is from RNAcentral.